RNAcentral lists this ribosomal RNA (429 nucleotides) under Acidobacteriota bacterium. RNAcentral's name for it is "Acidobacteria bacterium partial 16S ribosomal RNA". It matches the Rfam family "Bacterial small subunit ribosomal RNA", at positions 355 to 776 of the family's 1533-position model. The record is from RNAcentral. Lineage: Bacteria; Pseudomonadati; Acidobacteriota.
UGGGGAAUUUUGGACAAUGGGGGAAACCCUGAUCCAGCCAUCCCGCGUGUGCGAUGAAGGCCUUCGGGUUGUAAAGCACUUUUGGCAGGAAAGAAACGUCAUGGGUUAAUACCCCGUGAAACUGACGGUACCUGCAGAAUAAGCACCGGCUAACUACGUGCCAGCAGCCGCGGUAAUACGUAGGGUGCAAGCGUUAAUCGGAAUUACUGGGCGUAAAGCGUGCGCAGGCGGUUCGGAAAGAAAGAUGUGAAAUCCCAGAGCUCAACUUUGGAACUGCAUUUUUAACUACCGGGCUAGAGUGUGUCAGAGGGAGGUGGAAUUCCGCGUGUAGCAGUGAAAUGCGUAGAUGUGCGGAGGAACACCGAUGGCGAAGGCAGCCUCCUGGGAUAACACUGACGCUCAUGCACGAGAGCGUGGGGAGCAAACAGG